ACACUUUUUGUAGCUGGAGAAAGGGUAACACUUUUUGUAGCUGGAGAAAGGGUAUUCUUCCCUACCAGCCGUCUCUACACCCCCAUUUUUUCCUCUUUUCUCCAUUGUAGAUCUAGGUUCAAAAAGAAGAACAAGAUGUGAUUCUCCACCCUCUUAGAGAAAGCGGUUCGAAUCCCUCGUCAGGUGAACUCGUGUUUCUUCAUUGGUGCCCACCAAUAUAAACUCACAACAAUCACAUCUCUCAUUUAACUCCUAGAAAUCUAAGAUCUGUGUUCUUGAGGAAUUCACACAUGAGAUUUGUUCCAAUCUGAAAAACCUACGUUUUUAAUAAAACUCAGAUCUGGGUUUUCUUUUAAGGACUAUGUGGUUUUUUCCUUAUCCACACCAUAACAUUUGUUCUAUCGAUGCCCUGUGGGUGAUUUUUAAUACACUUUCUCUUCCACUAAAGCUUCUUGUGACUUAUUAAGGGAUAUGCGAUAAUUCUUAGAUCCAAAAUAUUUGUGCUCAACCACUCAUUAUUGGGAGUUAUUUAAAGUCAAAUCAGACGUCAAUGACAAAAGCUAAAGAUGUUGAUUUACAUCUCAAAUUCCCUUUCUAUAAACUAUUGUCGUAUAUAAUUUUUAUCAUACUGCAGAAAAAGAAAAAAAAAAGAACUCACAUUUCUGACUUUUUGUCAUUUAGCCUGAGAGGCAAAUAAAGCACAUGAAACCCAUCACUCAUCUAAGUUUCAAUUUUAACCUAUAAACCUACAAAAAUGUUGGUUAGCUAAUCUUCAAUUUUAACCUAUAAGUUUAACAUGAAACCCAACAGAAUUUCCCUCCAAAUUUCAAAUUUCUCUUUCCAUCUCCAAAUCAGCUGAUCUUCAUCUUCUCUUCUUCAUCAUCGCAAUCAAUCGCUCAGACACGGGAAAGAAGAAGAUAACUAUCAAGCCAAUAACAUUUAGAGACACUUUUCCUAUUUCUGCUAUCGGUCAACUCUCUCUCUCGACGAGACACGUCCUAGAACUGUAACUAAUAGUUUAAAAGAAAAAGGCUACACACUUGAUGGUGCAUUAGGCAAGGGGUCUUUGGGUAAGGUGUAUAAGUGUAUAGAAGAUGCGACAGGGCAAGCAUUUGUUUGUAAGACAACGCUAACGCGAAAGAAUGAUAUCGAGAUGGCGAUCAGGGAAAUGGAUAUUAUGAAGGGGUUGCCGGCGCAUCCCAACCUUGUGGCUUGGAAGGAUGGAUUUAGUGACGCACAUGCCAUUGUGUUAGCCACGGAGUUAUGUCAGGGUGGCACGUUAUGGGAUCACAUGAAAAACAAGGUUUCGUGCACCGAAGAAUUUUAUGCCCCCGAGUUUUGAGUUUUGUGAGGUAAGAAAGAAGGUUCUGUUCACGGAACGAGAGGCCGCAACUGUGAUGAGAGAUAUAAUUGAAGCUAUCAAGGGAAACCAUGUAACUCGUGAAGUGAAGCAGCAAAACUUGCAAAAGUGAUGAAAAUCUUGAAAAAGGCAACAACUAAUUGAAGAUUUAUUGAAGAAUCAUAUUUGUUGAUCGAACUAGUAUUUAAAUCAAAUAUACGUUAGUUAUAAAUUGCUAAUUAGGUUAAAUUAUGCUGCUAGGCUUCGGCCCAAUUUAGUCUGUAUAAUUGUUUCUCGGUCCAAUAGGUUUAUAUCGGUUCUUAGUAGUUCCCGGCCUGGAACCAACCUGACACCCGAUAUACUACAAUUAUAGAAACCGAACAAAUACCCAAAUAACUAUUAGGGUCGGUUUCAGGUACUAUACGAUUCGGUUAUCGAGUUCCAGUCAGGUCAGACCUAAUUUUGCUCACCCCUAUUUUAGAGUACAUGCGGCUUAAAAACAUAUAAAGUUAUGUUGCU
This is a long non-coding RNA of Helianthus annuus (common sunflower), 1858 nucleotides long. RefSeq lists it as uncharacterized. The transcript has 3 exons. The record is from RefSeq and is a predicted model, not a curated record. Lineage: Eukaryota; Viridiplantae; Streptophyta; Magnoliopsida; Asterales; Asteraceae.